CCUACGGGGCGCAGCAGUGAGGAAUAUUGGUCAAUGGACGAGAGUCUGAACCAGCCAAGUAGCGUGAAGGAUGACUGCCCUAUGGGUUGUAAACUUCUUUUAUAUGGGAAUAAAACGUUCCACGUGUGGGAUUUUGUAUGUACCAUAUGAAUAAGGAUCGGCUAACUCCGUGCCAGCAGCCGCGGUAAUACGGAGGAUCCGAGCGUUAUCCGGAUUUAUUGGGUUUAAAGGGAGCGUAGGUGGAUUGUUAAGUCAGUUGUGAAAGUGUGCGGCUCAACCGUAAAAUUGCAGUUGAAACUGGCAGUCUUGAGUACAGUAGAGGUGGGCGGAAUUCGUGGUGUAGCGGUGAAAUGCUUAGAUAUCACGAAGAACUCCGAUUGCGAAGGCAGUUCACUGGACUGCAACUGACACUGAGGCUCGAAAGUGUGGGUAUCAAACAGGAUUAGAUACCCCGGUAGUC
RNAcentral lists this ribosomal RNA (460 nucleotides) under uncultured bacterium. RNAcentral's name for it is "partial 16S ribosomal RNA". It matches the Rfam family "Bacterial small subunit ribosomal RNA", at positions 338 to 795 of the family's 1533-position model. The record is from RNAcentral.